GUUUUGGCACCUGUUCCCACUAACUUACUUUCGUGACUUGGAUUAUGACCUCCCCAUGUAAGGGAAGGCAGUAUAGUUACUGCCCCAUCCCCAUUCCUACCACUGAAAUAAAAUUCAUGUCUCCUACACUUCUAAACACUACUAGAUUCAAAUAGGCUGACAAUCUGCAACUCCACCUAAAGAUCUCUCAAAUCUUGCAGGUAUGCAUCCAUGGCAUAUGGAAGUUCCCAGGCUAGGGGUCAAAUCAGAACUGUAGCUGCCAGCCUAUACCACAGCCACAGCCACAGCAGCAGCCACAGUAAUGUGGGGUCCAAGCUGUGUCUUCAACCUGCACCACAGCUCGUGGCAACACCAGAUCUUUAACCCACUGAUCGAGGCCAGAGAUGGAAACCACGUCCUCAUGGAUACUAGUUGGGUUCAUUUCCACUGAGCCAAAAUGAAAACUCCACAAUUUUUUGAGUUAAGAUUCCUAUUAUUAAGGAGGAUGUUAAGAGAAGGUAUUUUCAUGCAUUGUUUUGACAAUAGGAUUGUUAACAUCAAUUUGAAAGGAACCUGGUCCCACCUAUGAAGAUACGGUACACAUACCCUUUAAAUCAGCAACCCAGUUCUGAGAAUCCUUCUCCUAGGAAGAGAGAAACCAUCUAUAAGAACAUAUAGUCUAUAGGUAGCUGUGUUUGAAUAUGUAUUUUAUGUAUGUAUAUGCAAUAUGCAAUAAAAAUAUAUAUGUAUGUUCACUUGAGAGGAGGAAAAAUAAAACAUUUGUGUUUUUUCAACACUGGAAAAUUAGGUAAAUUAUUAUAUAUCAUAUUUUGAAAUGGUGUAUAGUCAUUAGAAAGAUAUAGUAGAGCUGUAGCAUUUGACUCAGAGGGUUUUCCAUGAAUAUUACUAAGCAAGAAAAGCAACAGAGAAAAGACUGCAUAAUAUAAUAUUAUGGAUCCACUUUUCUUGAUUUUCUUUGAUAAAAUGUGUGCCACUAAAUACCAUUCUUCUCUUGGUUGCUCAAGUUGGUCCUCCUUGUUACCCUUAUGGGUCUCCUGUUAUUAAUGACACUUCCAAUCUAAGGCAGAUGCCAUUCAAACAGGCUAUCAGUUGUCUUUACUUUUCUAAGUGUGGUGGUGAUUAAAUUGUGGAUUUUUUUGUUUGAUUUUAAUUCCCUGGAUAUGGAGAAGUUGAUGCUUCAUUUUGAUAACCUGUAUUCUUUAUUUCUUAAUUAUCACCCUUGAAAACAUUUAAUGAAUAGAUUGUUCACUUAAUUUUCCCUUUACAAAUGAAUUAGCAUUCUUUAUUCUUCUUUUUAAAUGAUCUUAAAAUGGCAUUUUUGUGUCAAAGCAAUUUUAGAAAAAUCACAAUAGGAAAAAUAAUAAGAAAGUGUCUCAAUAACACGGAAAUAUUUUCUCUUAUAGAUGUGUUUCUAGCUAUGAGUUCACAGAUCGUUAGUUUUGCAAUCAUGAUUUUUCACUGGAAAAGGAAAAAGUUUCUAUUUUUUUCUUUAACAAGCAUGGGAAAAGUAAUUGUAUAAUUUUUCAACAACAUUGAAAUGAUAUGUGUGCUACUCAAAAUAUAGCCUCAUAUCAUUCAUUAGCUCAUCUACCCACUAGAUUUACCACACCUUUACAAUCAUAUGUGCAUGAAAUAAUGUAAUAAAUUUGUAGGAGUUCCCAUUGUGGUGCAGCAGAAAUGAAUCCAACUAGGAACCACGAGGUUGUGGGUUCCAUCCCUAGCCUUGCUCAGUGGGUAAAGGAUCUGGCAUUGCCAUGAGCUGUGGUGUAGGUCGCAGACAUGGCUUGAAUCUGGCGUUGCUGUGGCUCUGGCGUAGGCUGGCAGCAGCAGCUCCGAUUAGACCCCUAGCCUGGGAACCUCCAUAUGCCAUGGCCCUAAAAAGACAAAAGACUAAAUAAAUAAAUAAAUAAAUAAAUAAAUAAAUUUGUAUAUGACUUGCAGCCACGGCAUUUGUGAAUUUAAGAUGUUUAUUGGCUUUAGGUUUGUAGGUAUCAUUCAUUCAUUCACUCAUUCAUUCAACAGAUGUUAGGCUGCACUGCAUUAGUUGAAAACUAUGCAAUAGUAAAUAAGAAAAGUGGUGUAUUCUUUAAUGCCAUGUAGCUCACAAUAUAGAGGAGGAAUUUUAUGAAAGACACAUACAAAUAAUUAAGCUAGGACCAAUGUCAUAAGUGCUGUUGAGGAGCUAUAUCUCUUGCUAUAAGUCUUUACAACAUAUGAAAGAGACUCAGGAUGAUGGGAAUAAGGUAACUUGAGGAAGUGAGGAGUGAGCUAGAGCUGAAGGCAGAGCAGGAGUGAACCUAGUGAAAGACUAUGGGAGUGUUCCAGAAUGGGGACACAACCUGUACAAAAGCUGGGGCAAGAAGGAGCAUGACGUGUUGAAGGCACAGAUGAGAGCUGUGCACACAAGCACUGAAGGGGCACUAGGAAGUGGUGAAGCUAUAGGGGCCACAAGGGCAAGAUCAGGGCUUCUGAACUGUCUGCCUUCAGAAUAACUUGGGAAGCUUGGAGCAGCCCCAGACCCUUCAAAGAUACCCUUCAUGGACCCAAGCAGGGCCCAUGCAGUGCUACAAAGAUCCUGAGGGAUUCUCAUGUCAGGCAGUGUUCAGAGAUGCUUGACCAGGCCAGGCAGUGCCUUAGACUAUGUUAGGAAUUAAGAUAUUUCUCUAAAAGUGAUGCAUUUUAAUUGGAGGACAACAAGCUCAGAUUUGAGGGUUGAGAAUACCAUUUAAGCUGCUAUGUAGAGAAUACGUUGUUGGGUUGUGGCAUAGUGGAUUCAUACACAGGUAGCUGCAUAGGUAGUCUAGCAACAGGUCUCAAGUGAAGGGACUGGUGGAGAUGGCUGGAAUAUUGAAAAAAUAAAAUAAAAUGAAAGAUAUUGCUUCAU
RNAcentral lists this long non-coding RNA (2884 nucleotides) under Sus scrofa (pig). RNAcentral describes it as "lncRNA (ENSSSCG00055002614.1)". Lineage: Eukaryota; Metazoa; Chordata; Mammalia; Artiodactyla; Suidae. The record is from RNAcentral.